This 82-nucleotide non-coding RNA is filed under the name Turicibacter sanguinis. RNAcentral describes it as "c-di-GMP-II sequence". It matches the Rfam family "Cyclic di-GMP-II riboswitch aptamer". The record is from RNAcentral. Lineage: Bacteria; Bacillati; Bacillota; Erysipelotrichia; Erysipelotrichales; Turicibacteraceae.
UUCUGCCUAAGAAUCGAUGAAAUAUAUUCUGUAUAUGGGUACCUGGAAUAUAUCGAGAUAUUGGUACAACCGGCUUUUUAAA